GACCCGACUCUGUGCCUGGCAGUCUAAGGGCUUCGGCUCUCACCUCCUAGUCCCUAGCCGGCCAGCCCCCGCUCGCCCCUCCUCUUCCUCCUCCUCCUCCUCCCACCUCGGCUCCAGAAAACCCUGGGCGUGAUGGGUACUUUACUGGGUAAGAGGAGACGGGUGCCCCCCACCCACUCCUCCCGGCCGCGCGGACCUCUCCCGCUCAGACCUGCAUCUGCAUUCCUUUGAGUUUACCACGGACUUGGGGCGGGAUCAAAGGGAAAGUGGCCUGAGCCUGUUUCAUCAAGGGGUUGUGGACCGAAACCAAGGCCGGGGGUGGCGGAGGGCACGCGGAUGAGGGGCUCAGGCCUAGGAAGGGCCGGUCCUGGACACCGCGCCCUCCCCUGCAGCCAGGCGCCGAGGCCUGCAGCACCCGGAGCGCCGCACUGACCCGCGAUUCUGCCCGAAGGCCGGCCCGGGUGCGCCCCGGCGCGGGGAGACACCAACAAGGCCAGCUUUUCCACGAGAGGCUGCUUAGCUCUUGUGACCAUAUUUGGUCUGGCGAGGAGGCAUCUUGGCUGCCUGGCUCUCAAUUGUCUGCUAGAGCACAGACGGUGCCCAGAAAGUGCCUCUGUCACUGGAGAUGCGGCUUCGCCAACGGGCUUGAGUGCAAUAGCUCCAUCUCAGCUCACUGCAACCUCCGCCUCCCGGGUUCAAACGAUUCUCCUGCCUCUGCCUCCCAAGUAGCUAGGAUUAAGACGCCUGCCACCACGCCCAGCUAAUUUUUGUAUUUUUUAAAAGCAAAAAUGGGGUUUCACCAUGUUGGCCAGGCUGGUCUCAAAUCCUGACUUCAGGUGAUCCGCCCGCCUCAGGCUCCCAAAGUGCUGGGAUUACAGGCAUGAGCCACCGCGCCCAGCCUGCCUUAAUAUUUUUACAGGGUAAAAUAAAGUCGAAGUUAAAAUCUGGAGCUGCCUUGGAGGAGAAAAGUUUAAGGAAAAGACAAGGCCACUCAUAGUUUUGCCUCGGAAAAGGUAGAAUUUUGGGGCCACUCCCUGAAUGGCUGCAUCCAUAUCCAAAACAGAACCACCAAAGUGAGCCACUUCCCCUGUUAUCUGUACUUGGAGGUGGCUCCAAUUCCAGACUCCUCAUAGACUGGAAGAAAUUAGGGCCAUCUUAGACUAAGGCAGGCAUACACGUAUCAUCCUUUUUUUUUUUUUUUUGAGAUGGAGUCUCACUCUAUUGCCCAGGAUGGAGUGCAGUGGCAUGAUCGCGGCUCACUGCAACCUCUGCCUCCCUGGUUCAAGCAAUUAUCCUGCCUCAGCCUCCCGAGUAGCUGGGAUUCUGUGCAGCAAGUCCUCUGCCCAUAGGACUGGCAAAAGGAAAGGGGAAACUAGCACAGGUCACUCCUUGGAAAGUAGAAUCUUUGCAAGCUACUCUCAGAAGCCAUCACAGUUGCAACAACAGGGGAAAUAAGCUAUCGAACAAGAGGAAGUGACUGGAACCUAAUGAUACUAAUUCAGAAGUCACAAGGCUGACUUGAUGAUUAAAAGAUGAAAACUUGAGGCCAGCCCUACUCUAGGAAAGUCCUCACUCCCGAAGAAAGGAGACCUGAGCCACUAAGUAAGAAGUCCAGUUACCCUGUUGGAUAAACCACAUGGAGAAGGAAAGGCCCUGAGAUACUUGGAGAGAGGGAAAAGUCCAGCUGCCCAGCACCUGAGCUGAGCCCAGCCUCAGCCAACCCCACCGGCUGACUGCAAACACAUCAGUGACCACCAGUAAGACCAGCAGAGCUGCACAGCCAAGCCCAGCCCAGAUUGCAGAAUUGUGAGCAAAUAAAAUGGAUAUUGCUUUAAGCCACAAAAUAUUGAAAUGUUUUUUAAAUGUAGAAUGUGCAUUCUAAGAAUAAAAAGUUGCAAAU
RNAcentral lists this long non-coding RNA (1900 nucleotides) under Homo sapiens (human). RNAcentral describes it as "HSALNT0062058". The record is from RNAcentral. Lineage: Eukaryota; Metazoa; Chordata; Mammalia; Primates; Hominidae.